GCUAGCCUCGAAAUUCCUGGCAGCACGCAACGGCCAUGCACAAAGGUGCGGUGAGGAUUACUCGGAAGGCCCGUGUCCCCUCACGCUCGGGGGUCGGGCCCUUUUGCAACCGAUGCCUGUGUCCGCUGGUCCACUCUCCGAGAACAAGGCGGGACAGAGGAGCAGGAAGCAGGGGAGCCAAAGGACACCCAGUGUUCUUCAUACCUUGGUUGGAGCAUGUUGGGAACAGGGAUGGAGUAAAAGUGCAGGCUGUCCUUGGGAAUGAUUUGGGAAUCAGUGAUCCAAACCCUCUAAGCCCUUUAAAUAGGAUAUGGCCUAAUACCCCUUGGGCCCUCUUCCAGGUGCUUAUAUUCCAUGUUGACUCCACCUUUCACUCUUUAAUGUCACUGUGCUGAGAUUGGCACUUGGCAUGCUAGGAAGGCCCCCGGCUGCUCCAUUGGCGCAUGAUGCCUAGACAUACCAGGCCAACUGGCAUUUCUCCAUCACUGCAUGAGCAGGAGCCUUUACUGUUAUCUGAAACUACGCCAUAUCCAAUAAAGAGGCCCAAGCCACAGGUGAGAGUACGUUACCCAUGAUGCAAACCAGCUUGCCAUUGACAUGUGCUCUGCAGGCUAACCUGACAUAGAAUUUUGUCCUGCAGUUUUUGCAGUCUGGUAUAAUUUCUUCCACUUUUAGAGUUAAAGUUCCACAUUUAAUCCAAACGUACACGAACACUUACUUCUCAUGUGGAUUUUCUGGCCUUUUCUAGUCAGGAGCCCAGAAGGUUAUAGGUGGAAAAAGAAAGUCAAGCAAUCGCCGUCAUGUCCGCACACUUAAGUGCAAGCUGUCUAAGACGCGGAGUAUAGAGAAGUGUAGAUUUUCAAUUUGCAUUGCUGUCAGAACGGAGCGAGUGCCGCCAUAACACUCCGGUACGCUGUUCACUGCAAAGGUCACCAAACAGUGAGUCACCUGAGAUGCACCGAAGCAGCUUGCUGUGCAUUUAAUUCGUCUGACGCCUUCGGCGGCACUAACAGCAAAGAAGACGACCCUUUGAUAAAGUUAUUGAUCAUGCGGCCUUGGGCACAGAUGGGGAUUUUUCUGACGAAUCACAGGGUGUGUUGAAACAAGGCUGUCGUUGCGCAGGUCAUGCGAUUGGCACAUCCACGAGUAAUUCUGUAAAUUUAAGAUUACAGCAGAGCUGGUGGAUUUGAGUACACUCUUUGUGAAAAGCUGGGUACCAGCUCUCAUGAGAUUUUGAGGCACUUUUGUUAGAUCCUCUGAGUAUAUUGUUAUGAAGAACAUUGUGCACUAAUUCCAGACAAAAUGACUCUUGCUGUUCUGUCUUUUAAGUACUCAUUAAAUGUGAUUAAAAUGUC
This is a non-coding RNA of Electrophorus electricus (electric eel), 1355 nucleotides long. The record is from RefSeq and is a predicted model, not a curated record. Lineage: Eukaryota; Metazoa; Chordata; Actinopteri; Gymnotiformes; Gymnotidae.